Molecule: ribosomal RNA, 406 nt
Filed under: uncultured bacterium
Lineage: Bacteria
Description: partial 16S ribosomal RNA
Rfam family: Bacterial small subunit ribosomal RNA
Source: RNAcentral
AUUGAACGCUGGCGGCAGGCCUAACACAUGCAAGUCGAGCGAGCGGCGGACGGGUGAGUAAUGUCUGGGAAACUGCCUGAUGGAGGGGGAUAACUACUGGAAACGGUAGCUAAUACCGCAUACCAUCAGAUGUGCCCAGAUGGGAUUAGCUAGUAGGUGGGGUAAUGGCUCACCUAGGCGACGAUCCCUAGCUGGUCUGCGAGGAGGACCAGCCACGCUGGAACUGAGACACGGUCCAGACUCCUAAGGGAGGCAGAAGUGGGGAAUAUUGCAUAAGGUGCGCAAGCCUGAUGCAGCCAUGCCGCGUGUGUGAAGAAGGCCUUCGGGUUGUAAAGCACGUUCAGCGGGGAGGCGUUACCCGAAGAAGAAGCACCGGCUAACUCCGUGCCAGCAGCCGCGGUAAUAC